This 681-nucleotide ribosomal RNA is filed under the name Neocallimastigales sp. RNAcentral describes it as "partial large subunit ribosomal RNA". It matches the Rfam family "Eukaryotic large subunit ribosomal RNA", at positions 85 to 618 of the family's 3401-position model. Lineage: Eukaryota; Fungi; Neocallimastigomycota; Neocallimastigomycetes; Neocallimastigales. The record is from RNAcentral.
AACGGCGAGUGAAGCGGGAAGAGCUCAAAUUUGAAAUCUUCAAGGUUCUACCUUGACGAAUUGUAGUUUAAAGAAGUGUUUUCUGUUAGAUGAGUAGCAAAAGUUCCUUGGAAUGGGACAUCAUAGAGGGUGAGAAUCCCGUAUUUGGUUAUUCAUUCUAGCUUUGUGAUACACUUUCAAAGAGUCGGAUUGUUUGGGAAUGCAGUCCAAAAUGGGUGGUAAAUUUCAUCUAAAGCUAAAUAUUGGCGAGAGACCGAUAGCGAACAAGUACCGUGAGGGAAAGAUGAAAAGAACUUUGAAAAGAGAGUUAAACAGUACGUGAAAUUGUCAAAAGGGAAGCGUUUGACACCAGUGUUGUUUUUCCGAAAAUCAAUUACGAAUGGCUUGAUUUUGUGUUGUAUUGACCUUAUCAGCUUUCUUCACUUUUUUCGAGUCUUUCUUAAUGCACUUUUCGGUUAACAAGUCAACAUCAAUUUCUUUUGUUGUAAAAGAGUAUUCGGAAGGUGGCUUUCUUUUCGGAGAAAGUGUUUAUAGCCCUAUACUUCUACAAUCGGAGAGAUUGAGGUCUGCAGCGUAGAUCCUUCGGGGUUAGAUACAUUUGUGCUAAGUUGUAGCUUUUCAUAGACAACUUGUUGACUAUGUUUAGUCAUGCGGCUUACUCGCUUGUGCUAUUUUACCUAC